CCUACGGGAGGCAGCAGCAGGGAAUCUUGCGCAAUGGGCGAAAGCCUGACGCAGCGACACCGCGUGGGGGAUGAAGGCCUUCGGGUUGUAAACCCCUUUCAGGAGGGAAGAAAUUGACGGUACCUCCACAAGAAGGACCGGCCAACUACGUGCCAGCAGCCGCGGUAAUACGUAGGGUCCGAGCGUUAUCCGGAAUCAUUGGGCGUAAAGAGCUCGUAGGCGGUUCAGCAAGUCGGCUGUGAAAGUUCGAGGCUCAACCUCGAAAUUGCAGUCGAUACUGCUGUGACUCGAGUCCGGUAGAGGAGAAUGGAAUUCCCGGUGUAGCGGUGAAAUGCGCAGAUAUCGGGAGGAACACCAGUAGCGAAGGCGGUUCUCUGGGCCGGCACUGACGCUGAGGAGCGAAAGCGUGGGGAGCAAACAGGAUUAGAUACCCUGGUAGUCCACGCCGUAAACGAUGAGAACUAGAUGUCGGGAGGAUCUGCCUUUCGGUGUCGCAGCUAACGCGUUAAGUUCUCCGCCUGGGGAGUACGCCGGCAACGGUAAAACUCAAAUGAAUUGACGG
RNAcentral lists this ribosomal RNA (562 nucleotides) under uncultured Actinomycetes bacterium. RNAcentral's name for it is "bacterial SSU rRNA". It matches the Rfam family "Bacterial small subunit ribosomal RNA", at positions 338 to 916 of the family's 1533-position model. The record is from RNAcentral. Lineage: Bacteria; Bacillati; Actinomycetota; Actinomycetes.